UGACAGUAUAUAAGUGAGUAACGCAUAUUCAGUAAGUAAAAGUAAAUUGAAAUUAGGGUUUCGAAAAUAUUCUUCUAAAAUUAAUUUUGUAAAAUGUUGCAUUUAUUUAAUAUUUUGAAUGGUUGGCAACCGUCCAGAUAUCGUUUUGGGCCUUCUGGAGCAAUACGCUUUUUAUCUAAAAAUGAAAAAAAUAACGAAAAAGAAAAAAACAACAAAUCAAGUUAUAAAGAUGAGACAAGUAUUGCCGGUGGAACCAAAUGCAAGCCAAAAACUGCAAUUUGCUCUGAGCCCAACAAAAAAAAAAAGAAGAGAGAAAGUUGUGAGGAUUUAAUUCUGAAGCGAGAUGGUAAAACUUCAUCCAGAAAAAAAAAGACUGCACUGACUUCAAUUCAAGGAGGUGGAUUAAACUGUCGUACCAAAACCCAUAAUAAACCUACAACAGGAAAACAUGCAGGGCGUUGGAAGAAGUUUUCACUCUUUGGAGCACUUCCUUUGGUCGCAAUACUUACUCUUCUUGUAUUCAGUUCUCAUAUGGAAAUGGAUCGAAGCGAGUUCAAAAAUUAUACUCAUAUGUAUAAGAGAUCUAAGCCUUUUUGGUUUCGAGAUGGAAAUCGCACUGCUUUUCAUAACAGUCAUUUUAAUGCUCUUCCCCCUGCUGGAUAUGAAGAUGAAGUCGAUGAAAGUUCAAUUGGUAAGGAACCUGAAUCAGAAAAGGACAAAAAAAAACGUUUGAAUGAGUUUCAAAAGUUGUCGAAGAAUUGGCACAGGCACGUAGGUAAGAGAGACGCUCAGAUUAAAAAGGAACAGGAAACUUCAGCGAAAGAGGCAAAAAGACAGCAAGCUCAGGAGGAAAAAGAUGAACAGCAAAUCCAAAAGAAUAACGCCAAAAAGGAAAAUAAAUCGAUUGAAGAGCACUAAACAGAAAAAAUGAGAGUGGAAAAACUUCUAAACUCAAACAAAGCCCAAAAUCUUUAGUAGUUCAAAAUUCGUUGCUCAGAAGCAGCGGUUUAGCAUCAUUUAUAAUAUAGUGAUUAAACAAUGUAUUAAAUUAUUAUUAUUUAAUGUG
Molecule: long non-coding RNA, 1066 nt
Organism: Drosophila ananassae
Lineage: Eukaryota; Metazoa; Arthropoda; Insecta; Diptera; Drosophilidae
Exons: 3
Source: RefSeq, a predicted model, not a curated record